RNAcentral lists this ribosomal RNA (526 nucleotides) under uncultured bacterium. RNAcentral describes it as "bacterial SSU rRNA". It matches the Rfam family "Bacterial small subunit ribosomal RNA", at positions 355 to 899 of the family's 1533-position model. The record is from RNAcentral.
UGGGGAAUCUUGGACAAUGGGGGCAACCCUGAUCCAGCCAUGCCGCGUGAGUGAUGAAGGUCUUAGGAUUGUAAAGCGCUUUCAGCGGGGGAAGAUGAUGACGGUACCCGCAGAAGAAGCCCCGGCUAACUCCGUGCCAGCAGCCGCGGUAAUACGGAGGGGGCUAGCGUUGUUCGGAAUUACUGGGCGUAAAGGGCGUGUAGGCGGCCAAUUAAGUCAGAGGUGAAAUCCCCGAGCUCAACUUGGGAACUGCCUUUGAUACUGGUUGGCUAGAGUUCGGGAGAGGUGAGUGGAAUUCCAAGUGUAGAGGUGAAAUUCGUAGAUAUUUGGAGGAACACCAGUGGCGAAGGCGGCUCACUGGCUCGAUACUGACGCUGAGGUGCGAAAGUGUGGGGAGCAAACAGGAUUAGAUACCCUGGUAGUCUACACCGUAAACGAUGAAUGCCAGUCGUCGGGUAGCAUGCUAUUCGGUGACACACCUAACGGAUUAAGCAUUCCGCCUGGGGAGUACGGUCGCAGAUUAAAA